CGUGUAGGCGGGUUAUUAAGUCAGAUGUGAAAUACCGAGGCUCAACUUCGGGGCUGCAUUUGAAACUGAUAAUCUUGAGUGCUGGAGAGGGAAGCGGAAUUCCUAGUGUAGCGGUGAAAUGCGUAGAUAUUAGGAGGAACACCAGUGGCGAAGGCGGCUUUCUGGACAGUAACUGACGCUGAGGCGCGAAAGCGUGGGGAGCAAACAGGAUUAGAUACCCUGGUAGUCCACGCUGUAAACGAUGGAUACUAGGUGUAGGGGGUAUCGACCCCCCCUGUGCCGGAGUUAACACAAUAAGUAUCCCACCUGGGGAGUACGGCCGCAAGGUUGAA
RNAcentral lists this ribosomal RNA (332 nucleotides) under uncultured bacterium. RNAcentral's name for it is "bacterial SSU rRNA". It matches the Rfam family "Bacterial small subunit ribosomal RNA", at positions 568 to 898 of the family's 1533-position model. The record is from RNAcentral.